RNAcentral lists this ribosomal RNA (251 nucleotides) under uncultured bacterium. RNAcentral's name for it is "partial 16S ribosomal RNA". It matches the Rfam family "Bacterial small subunit ribosomal RNA", at positions 524 to 775 of the family's 1533-position model. The record is from RNAcentral.
UACGUAGGGUGCGAGCGUUAAUCGGAAUUACUGGGCGUAAAGCGUGCGCAGGCGGUUAUGCAAGACAGAGGUGAAAUCCCCGGGCUCAACCUGGGAACUGCCUUUGUGACUGCAUAGCUAGAGUACGGUAGAGGGGAUGGAAUUCCGCGUGUAGCAGUGAAAUGCGUAGAUAUGCGGAGGAACACCGAUGGCGAAGGCAAUCCCCUGGACCUGUACUGACGCUCAUGCACGAAAGCGUGGGGAGCAACAGG